This 216-nucleotide long non-coding RNA is filed under the name Lathyrus oleraceus (garden pea). Its description in RNAcentral is "Pisum sativum (pea) long non-coding RNA (PSAT_LNC032248)". The record is from RNAcentral. Lineage: Eukaryota; Viridiplantae; Streptophyta; Magnoliopsida; Fabales; Fabaceae.
AAAACACAAACAAACUCAUUGAUUUUUCUUCUCCUAAGAACACGUUUACUCCUUCUACUACAGGCGAGCAAGUCUCCAAAGGUCGAGCAUCCGGUAGAUUGCGUAGUAACGUCGUUCAUCCAAAAACACAACCCUUAACCCGUAGGUAGCCGAACUAUGGCUUGCUCUGAUUCUCAUUCCAGAUGAGAUACGUAGGCAUAAGACACGAUGUCUUAG